This 1011-nucleotide ribosomal RNA is filed under the name Haliotis scalaris (staircase abalone). RNAcentral's name for it is "12S ribosomal RNA". It matches the Rfam family "Bacterial small subunit ribosomal RNA". Lineage: Eukaryota; Metazoa; Mollusca; Gastropoda; Lepetellida; Haliotidae. The record is from RNAcentral.
UUUUGGUUCUGUGUCUUGGUUUUAGCUACAGGAAACACAUGGUACUUUAUGGGUUCCGGUGAGUAGGAAAUAGCUGGAUUAAAGCAGAUUUUAAUAUUUUGCUUUAUUUCCUAUUUUUAGGCAUAAUUGUAUUUAUAUGACGCCUAUGUUUAUUCACUUUGUACACCAGUGUUGAAGGUUGAACAAUAAAUUGCGGUUUGAUUCAGUGAGUUGCUACUAAGGCCUGGUAAAGUUUGUGCCAGCAACUGCGGUUAGACAAACAGGCCAAGCUAAGAUUUGUGCAGCAUAAAGUAGGGUUAGGGGUGCAAAAGUUUAGUGCUUGGGAGUUUAAGAUGACUUGAGGGGUGCAAUCCUAAGAGUUGUGGUUUUAUCUAGUAUUUCCUGGUUGCCUGACGCCCUGAAACUCCAACUAAAAACCGGGAUUUGGUAUCCCGUUAUUCGGAGUGUAAACUUUGGUUUGUAAUCUGCUGGGGUACUACGAGCGUUAGAUUUAUUUUGGCUAGGCUUAAAACUCAAAAAACUUGGCGGUGUUUCAUAUCCUCCCAGGGGAACCUGUCUCAUAAACGAUGAUCCACGUUUUAUCUUACCUUGUUUUGAAACGCUUAGUGUGUAGCGGGUCAGCUUGUAUACCGUCGCCGAUAGAUCACCCUUGAGGGGCUUAAAGUGGUCGGGAAGAGAAGUUGAAAGUUGAUAGGUUGCUGCUCUAUUACGAGUAAUUGCGGCUGAUACUUGUUAUGCUGUGGGGUUUAAGGGCCCUACAGUCGUUAGCUUCUCAGGAUGUCAGAUCAAGGUGCAGCUUAUGGCGAGGUGAUGAUGGGUUACAAUAACUUAUUUGUUAUACGGAUUUUUCGUUGUAAUGCGGAAUUUAAAGGCGGACUUGGAUGUAAUGUUGAAUUAGGAAGUCACAGUGAACUAGGUUUUGAGAUGUGUACAAAUCGCCCGUCGCUCUCGUUGAAAAAUGAGAUAAGUCGUAACAUAGUAGGGGUACCGGAAGGUGCCCCUGGAAUAAUG